UGAUAUUGGAAUUGCUAGAAAUAUAUGGAGGACGAUUGUGAGAUCAAGAAAGAUGUUACUGAAUUAAUAGGUAAUACCCCAAUGGUGUAUCUCAAUAAUAUUGUGGGUGGUUGCGUAGCUCGCAUUGCUGCCAAGCUUGAAAUGAUGGAACCUACAUCUAGUGUUAAAGACAGAAUUGCAUACAGCAUGAUCAAAGAUGCAGAAGAUAAGGGCUUGAUUACUCCAGGGAAGACGAUCCUCAUUGAACCUACCAGUGGUAACACGGGCAUUGGAUUGGCUUCA
Molecule: unclassified non-coding RNA, 282 nt
Filed under: Hevea brasiliensis (rubber tree)
Lineage: Eukaryota; Viridiplantae; Streptophyta; Magnoliopsida; Malpighiales; Euphorbiaceae
Source: RNAcentral